CUGACACUAACCCCUGUGAAGAAGGAGGAGGAGGAGGCGGGUAAAGCUGAGCAGUGUUAAGCAAAGGGCUGGUUUUCUAUAGGAAGCCCACAGCAGAUGGCCUACAAGGUGGUGUCCUGCCUGCAGACAGCCUGCAGAGUAAAGGCAAUGUACCCCAGCCCUGUGCAGCUCAUCACAGCUGUAUCCUCCUAUUCACAGCAGCAGUGCCGUGGCUAUGUGUGCUUGUUCCCAGGCAGGCACCUCUAGAUCUUGGAUUUCAACUGAACAAAACCCAUCCUUUUUUCACAGCAACCUGCAUGGAGGGGAAAAUAGGCUGACAGCAUCAAACAAAGUUAUUUGUGUGUGCUCUGGAAGGAAAGGCACCAUGAACACGGUCUCUCCCAUGCCAUGAAGGGGUUGAGCAUCUCCAACCAGGGAGGUGAGAGGCUUUAUCAACAGUGAGCCCAGCUCAUUCCUGUGCAACACAACUGGCCAUACGUGGCUGUCCCAGAGCAGAGCCAGAUGUUCUUCAAGCAGAAGAAGUGAGGCAAGGCAGAUGUUGGCAACCUCGACAGCGCAGGAGUCCAAUUCCCUUUUUCCAUUUGCUUGAGACAAAAGAGGAAAUCAGGGUUGGAUUACAUCUGCAUGUGGAGGGGGGUGAGCAGGAUGGAUCAGGCCCUCAGCUAACGCAAACCAGUGUAUGCGCCCGUUUGCAGCAUGUGGGUACCAGGAUGUCACAAGCAGCAUCUCUCAGAGUAUUUAACUUUUAAGGUGUAAUUCAGCUUGAAUUACUACUCGUGAAAAGCUGGGAACUCCCUCUUGCAUUGGUUCUCCCUAAUUCUACUGAGCCCCUCAAACCCCUUUGGAGCUCAAACUAUUCUCUUUAGCAGCAGAUGGAUAAAAUAUCAGGCCGAAGACUAUGUGUGGCUCUGGCAGCAGCCAAACCCAACAACAUAUUUACUUCAAAGCAGGCAGAAGGAUAGCUUGUCCAGCUGGAAAAAGCAGGAAGCGUGUUUUUAAAGGAGCAGAAGAAGGGGACAGACAAGGAGAUGAUUGUGUGGCCACACCAGCCUGGCCCUAACUUCAAGUAGCUUCUUACCUUGCAGCAGCCUUCAUGCUCUAUGUCCCAAAUGAGAGCGAGGAGCCAGCCCAGCCAUCAACUCCUCCAACCUCAAAACACACCAAGAUCAUCUAAGACAUCCUCCUUCUCAUCCAGGAGAGAAAGCUUCUGCCAACAUCAUGUCACAGAGCUACACCGCAUUGCACGUGGGGAGUUGUGAUUGCAGCUCACAAGGGACUGAAAAGCGAGAAAUGGGCUCCGAUGAGUGAAUGAUUGCACAAUAUCUUCUACAUCCCAUUUCCUGCAUUUGCAGAACAUCUAUGUCCUAGCCUGGGCUUUUUACUGAUAGUAAAAGGCUAUGGCAGUGACAGGGACAACUCUUCCAGGCCCGGAUUGGAGGGCAUGGCAUGGAACUGCAUCCAUAAGGAUGCUGUGAAAGAUAAAAGCUGAUCUGGCUUGAAAAAGCAUCUGGGCAAGACAAAGCCCCCCAUGAGGAGCUGCUGGGGAGGGAGCAGAAGCCACUUGGCUGUUCCUUCUGCAUCCAAAGGACCCCAAGAACCCAAAAGAGGUGCUUGGUCCUUGUUCCCUUGGAUCUCAUUAAGUAUGUGUUAACUUGUGACAUGCAAACCCAAUAAGGGAAAAUUGGGAGAGCAGGAAGCCUUUUCUGGGAAGAAAUCAGCUUUUCUUGGGUUUCAAAGUGGGCAUGGGUGUAUGGUGUAUGGUUUACAGUGAUAGCAAUGCACUGUAAAACCAUCUGCACAAGUAAAGUACAGACAAUAGCGUUCUUGAAAUGCAGUGUUUGUAGCAGAAGCGCUGUAGGUCAGUGUCUUGCUGCAAGCAAAUCCUCCAUCUGGUCUGUAAUGGCUGAUCCCUUCCUUCCACAUCCCCUGUUCUUUGCUGGAAAGGGAAAAUUGCUGAUAUUCAGCAAAAAACUACAGCUGGAAAUGGCAAACCGGUAUCAUCUCAGCCACCAAUGCACAAUGAGAGAGCCUACAAGGGAAUAUGGGCUAAAUACAUCCUGUGGGGAACAUGCAUUGGAUCCUAUCUAGGGAUGAGCACAUGGAGCUCUGGAGGUUGGGGCUUGGGGAGCAGGACUUGUCCUUGCACAGCCACUGAGACCUCCAGCCACACACUGCUCCUGGUAUGGUUUUUCCAGGGAAAACCUCUA
Molecule: long non-coding RNA, 2207 nt
Organism: Neopsephotus bourkii (Bourke's parrot)
Lineage: Eukaryota; Metazoa; Chordata; Aves; Psittaciformes; Psittacidae
Exons: 3
Source: RefSeq, a predicted model, not a curated record